Molecule: non-coding RNA, 100 nt
Organism: Otolemur garnettii (small-eared galago)
Lineage: Eukaryota; Metazoa; Chordata; Mammalia; Primates; Galagidae
Source: Rfam
AUGCCUUAAACUUAUGAGUAAGGAAAAUAAUGAUUUAGGGUGAUGCUCGAAUCCUCACUGCUUAUGUGAGAUAAACGUUUGAGCAGGUUAAGGCCGCCCC